AGUUUUCUUCAGUCUGUGAAGAGAUCUCAUCAUGUAUCAACCUUCAAGAGCUGAUGAAGCUUUUACGAUGAAUGAAGCA
Schistosoma haematobium is the source of this 79-nucleotide non-coding RNA. The record is from Rfam. NCBI's taxonomy places the organism in Eukaryota, Metazoa, Platyhelminthes, Trematoda, Strigeidida, Schistosomatidae.